GGAAGCAAGAAGGGAGGGAGCGAAAACUACAAGAGGGAGGGAGGCUCGGCAAUGCCAGACGUGGUGGGGGGAGAAAGACGGGCUAUGGAUUGCUGCUGCAGUAGCUGGAGGCGAGCUGCAAAAGGCAACUGGCCAAGGUGCAGCAAACCCCAGGUGGAAACCAGGUACCAGCCUUCUGACACCGGCACUGCAAGAAGGGGCUUGGAAGCUUGCUCUGAAUUGGAAACACGCAGGAGCAACAUCUCUUCUCAGCUGCCAGAAGAGGACGCUUCUUCACUCAGGACUUGGACCUUCUUUCACCCCAUCUCUGCCCCCCAGAGCCCCAUCCCAAAGGCAGGGAGGGGAAGGACUAAUGAGCUGCUGAGAGCCGGAGAGCAGAUCACAGAGGCUCCACUCCGUCUGCCCAGUGUUCAGACUACCUGUUCAGGACUACGAGAUUGUACAGUAGUCUGCACAUUGGUUAGGCUGUGCUGGGAUACACCACACACUGCCAGUGCUGCACGGGGACGGCAACACCUGCACGGCAGAGGGACAUGCUUGGAGAGGGUGGUGGGCUGCGGGAACAGCUGCAUGCAAAGUCCAUCCCUCAGCCUGGGAGGAUAACACCCUUUGAGGCCAUGCUUGAUCACUUUUACCUGCCUCUUCACCAGCCUACUCACAUCCUUCUUGUUCCUUCUCUCCCCUUCACCCCCCUUCUUUUAGCUUCACGCACUCGUCCCAGGGGUGGCUGCAUUCAGGAUGGCUUGUGUUUUACGUACUAAGCUUUGCCAUAAAAUACAGGGAUAAACCUAA
Molecule: long non-coding RNA, 792 nt
Organism: Anas platyrhynchos (mallard)
Lineage: Eukaryota; Metazoa; Chordata; Aves; Anseriformes; Anatidae
Source: RefSeq, a predicted model, not a curated record